CAAUUGGCAUUGCCCCAGUACGGCGAGUGAGCGGCAACAGCUCAAAUUUGAAAUCUGGCUCCUAGAGUCCGAAUUGUAAUUUGCAGAGGAUGCUUUUGAUGCGGUGCCUUCCGAGUUCCCUGGAACGGGACGCCAUAGAGGGUGAGAGCCCCGUCUGGUCGGAUGCCAAAUCUCUGUAAAGCUCCUUCGACGAGUCGAGUAGUUUGGGAAUGCUGCUCUAAAUGGGAGGUAUAUGUCUUCUAAAGCUAAAUAUUGGCCAGAGACCGAUAGCGCACAAGUAGAGUGAUCGAAAGAUGAAAAGCACUUUGAAAAGAGGGUUAAAAAGUACGUGAAAUUGUUGAAAGGGAAGCGCCUAUGACCAGACUUGGGCCCGGUGAAUCAUCCAGCGUUCUCGCUGGUGCACUUUGCCGGGCACAGGCCAGCAUCAGUUUGGCUCGGGGGAAAAAGGCUUUGGGAAUGUAGCUCCCCUCGGGGAGUGUUAUAGACCAUUGCACAAUACCCUGGGCCGGACUGAGGUUCGCGCAUCUGCAAGGAUGCUGGCGUAAUGGUCAUCAGCGAUCCGUCUUGAAACCACGGACCACUG
RNAcentral lists this ribosomal RNA (583 nucleotides) under Simplicillium sympodiophorum. RNAcentral's name for it is "partial large subunit ribosomal RNA". It matches the Rfam family "Eukaryotic large subunit ribosomal RNA", at positions 66 to 671 of the family's 3401-position model. Lineage: Eukaryota; Fungi; Ascomycota; Sordariomycetes; Hypocreales; Cordycipitaceae. The record is from RNAcentral.